Gallus gallus (chicken) is the source of this 985-nucleotide long non-coding RNA. RefSeq lists it as uncharacterized. The transcript has 2 exons. The record is from RefSeq and is a predicted model, not a curated record. Lineage: Eukaryota; Metazoa; Chordata; Aves; Galliformes; Phasianidae.
GAGGACACCCUGAGCAGGAAGGACAAGGAGCAGAGCGCACCUCUUGGAGCUGCACCCCUGAGCCCAUGCUCUAGCACAGGGACAGCGAUCUACAGGGUAGCACGGUGGGAGUCACUGCCUCCUGCUUGCCUAGAAGCUUUUCCCCCUACACAUCACUACCUAGCUAUUGCUGCUCUUCAUUCCCAUCCCUCUCUGGCCCCCCUUAUGUCUUUCUCCACCUUUCUGCUGCAUGAGGACUUCUCUCGCUCUGCUGCAGCCCUCAGUGCCGAUUGCCCAUCCUCCAGGUAUCCGCCACUUCUUGGCAGUGCAACGCUGCCUGCUCUGUCCUGCAGGAACCAUUAGGAACAAGCUCUUCCCUGUGCUGAUCCAAACCGAUAAUUGCUCCCCACCCUCCAGCCCUCUCUCCCUUUGCUGGGAAGUGUUUUCCCUCACAGGUUCGCUGGCCCACUCCCAGCCAGACCUGCAGGCGAGCAGAUGCCCAGCUCACCUGCACCCAUGCGGGGUCUGCCAGGCAAGCCGGUCCCGUCUCACCAGCGUCCGGAUGGGGAAUCCACUGCACGCCAGGGAGAUGCAGCAAGAGUUAAGGCAAAGGCUCCCCUCUCUCCUCCUCCAGUCCCUCCCCUUCCACCAGCUCCCCCCACCAAAUUGUCACCCUGCUCUCAGACCUUGAACUGCGGCCCUGACGGGAAAGCAAGAAUAGCAAGCAGCUGUGGGUGGACAGGGCAAAGGCCCCACAUUUGCAAAGAUCAGCCACAGCCAUCAGCAGUGAGCCCACAGACCCCAGAGCACGGCCUCAGCCACCUGCCUGCUCUGCACCCAUCUCAGCACCAACGUGCUUUUCCAGCGUUGAUCGUGAGCUAUGCCAGCAGCAGGCAUUCCAGUUCUGCUACUUUUCUCAAGACAGUUCAGCUCCAUAAAUUUUUUUUUAAUGGUUGUUACUGUUUCAUCUAUCGCUUUGCCCAUAAACAUGCCUGCCAAAUUCCUA